RNAcentral lists this ribosomal RNA (253 nucleotides) under uncultured bacterium. Its description in RNAcentral is "partial 16S ribosomal RNA". It matches the Rfam family "Bacterial small subunit ribosomal RNA", at positions 524 to 776 of the family's 1533-position model. The record is from RNAcentral.
UACGUAGGGUGCGAGCGUUGUCCGGAAUUAUUGGGCGUAAAGGGCUCGUAGGCGGUCUGUCACGUCGAAAGUGAAAACUCAGGGCUUAACCCUGAGCCUGCUUCCGAUACGGGCAGACUAGAGGUAUGCAGGGGAGAAUGGAAUUCCUGGUGUAGCGGUGAAAUGCGCAGAUAUCAGGAGGAACACCAGUGGCGAAGGCGGUUCUCUGGGCAUUACCUGACGCUGAGGAGCGAAAGCGUGGGGAGCGAACAGG